This 403-nucleotide ribosomal RNA is filed under the name Fusobacteriota bacterium. Its description in RNAcentral is "Fusobacteria bacterium partial 16S ribosomal RNA". It matches the Rfam family "Bacterial small subunit ribosomal RNA", at positions 355 to 776 of the family's 1533-position model. Lineage: Bacteria; Fusobacteriati; Fusobacteriota. The record is from RNAcentral.
UGGGGAAUUUUGCACAAUGGAGGAAACUCUGAUGCAGCGACGCCGCGUGAGUGAUGAAGAUCUUCGGAUUGUAAAACUCUGUCCUUAGUGAAGAUAAUGACAGUAACUAAGAAGCAAGCCCUGGCUAAAUACGUGCCAGCAGCCGCGGUAAUACGUAUGGGGCAAGCGUUGUCCGGAAUUAUUGGGCGUAAAGGGUACGUAGGCGGUUUAAUAAGUCCUAAUUAAAAGGCUAUGGCUCAACCAUAGUAUGGUUAGGAAACUGUUGAACUUGAGUAGAUGAGGGGAAAGUGGAAUUCCAUGUGUAGCGGUGAAAUGCGUAGAUAUAUGGAGGAACACCAAUGGCGAAGGCAACUUUCUGGAAUCAAACUGACGCUGAGGUACGAAGGCGUGGGGAGCGAACAGG